GCGCUGUUGGUGUAGCGGUUAGCAUUGAAGCCUUCCAUCGUGAACAGCUUUAGUCCGGGGUUCGAAUCCCCGACAGUGCA
Transfer RNA from Melampsora larici-populina 98AG31, 80 nucleotides. It matches the Rfam family "tRNA". From Rfam's summary of the family: Transfer RNA (tRNA) molecules are approximately 80 nucleotides in length. Their secondary structure includes four short double-helical elements and three loops (D, anti-codon, and T loops). Lineage: Eukaryota; Fungi; Basidiomycota; Pucciniomycetes; Pucciniales; Melampsoraceae. The record is from Rfam.